GACGAACGCUGGCGGCGUGCUUAACACAUGCAAGUCGAACGGAAAGGCCCUGCUUUUGUGGGGUGCUCGAGUGGCGAACGGGUGAGUAACACGUGAGUAACCUGCCCUUGACUUUGGGAUAACUUCAGGAAACUGGGGCUAAUAUCGGAUAGGAGCUCCUGCUGCAUGGUGGGGGUUGGAAAGUUUCGGCGGUUGGGGAUGGACUCGCGGCUUAUCAGCUUGUUGGUGGGGUAGUGGCUUACCAAGGCUUUGACGGGUAGCCGGCCUGAGAGGGUGACCGGCCACAUUGGGACUGAGAUACGGCCCAGACUCCUACGGGAGGCAGCAGUGGGGAAUAUUGCACAAUGGGCGGGAGCCUGAUGCAGCAACGCCGCGUGCGGGAUGACGGCCUUCGGGUUGUAAACCGCUUUCGCCUGUGACGAAGCGUGAGUGACGGUAAUGGGUAAAGAAGCACCGGCUAACUACGUG
This 468-nucleotide ribosomal RNA is filed under the name uncultured bacterium. Its description in RNAcentral is "partial 16S ribosomal RNA". It matches the Rfam family "Bacterial small subunit ribosomal RNA", at positions 28 to 507 of the family's 1533-position model. The record is from RNAcentral.